Molecule: ribosomal RNA, 463 nt
Filed under: uncultured bacterium
Lineage: Bacteria
Description: partial 16S ribosomal RNA
Rfam family: Bacterial small subunit ribosomal RNA
Source: RNAcentral
GACGAACGCUGGCGGCGUGCUUAACACAUGCAAGUCGAACGGAAAGGCCUUUUCGGAGGUACUCGAGUGGCGAACGGGUGAGUAACACGUGGGUGAUCUGCCCUGCACUCUGGGAUAAGCCUGGGGAACUGGGUCUAAUACCGGAUAGGACCGCACUUUAGUGUGUGUGGUGGAAAGUUUUUUCGGUGUAGGAUGAGCCCGCGGCCUAUCAGCUUGUUGGUGGGGUAAUGGCCUACCAAGGCGGCGACGGGUAGCCGGACUGAGAGGUUGGUCGGCCACAUUGGGACUGAGAUACGGCCCAGACUCCUACGGGAGGCAGCAGUGGGGAAUAUUGCACAAUGGGCGCAAGCCUGAUGCAGCGACGCCGCGUGGGGGAUGACGGCCUUCGGGUUGUAAACUCCUUUCGCCAGGGACGAAGCGUUUUGUGACGGUACCUGGAGAAGAAGCACCGGCUAACUACGUG